RNAcentral lists this ribosomal RNA (1585 nucleotides) under Aeromonas hydrophila. RNAcentral's name for it is "partial 23S ribosomal RNA". It matches the Rfam family "Bacterial large subunit ribosomal RNA", at positions 1291 to 2857 of the family's 2925-position model. RNAcentral also lists the same sequence under 1 other name. Lineage: Bacteria; Pseudomonadati; Pseudomonadota; Gammaproteobacteria; Aeromonadales; Aeromonadaceae. The record is from RNAcentral.
CGAAUGCUGACGUAAGUAACGAUAAAGGGGGUGAAAAGCCUCCUCGCCGGAAGACCAAGGGUUCCUGUCCAACGUUAAUCGGGGCAGGGUGAGUCGACCCCUAAGGCGAGGCCGAAAGGCGUAGUCGAUGGGAAGCAGGUUAAUAUUCCUGCACGACUUGUAAUUGCGAUGGGGGGACGGAGAAGGCUAGGUGGGCCAGGCGACGGUUGUCCUGGUGAAAGUGCGUAGGUGGUGUUUCUAGGCAAAUCCGGAGACACAACACUGAGACACGAGACGAACACACUACGGUGUGGAAGCCAUUGAUGCCCUGCUUCCAGGAAAAGCCUCUAAGCUUCAGAUUACAAGUCAUCGUACCCCAAACCGACACAGGUGGUCGGGUAGAGAAUACCAAGGCGCUUGAGAGAACUCGGGUGAAGGAACUAGGCAAAAUAGAACCGUAACUUCGGGAGAAGGUUCGCUCUUGACAGUGAAGUCCCUUGCGGAUGGAGCAGUUGGGAGUCGCAGUGACCAGAUGGCUGGGACUGUUUAUCAAAAACACAGCACUCUGCAAACACGAAAGUGGACGUAUAGGGUGUGACACCUGCCCGGUGCCGGAAGGUUAAUUGAUGGGGUUAGCGCAAGCGAAGCUCUUGAUCGAAGCCCCGGUAAACGGCGGCCGUAACUAUAACGGUCCUAAGGUAGCGAAAUUCCUUGUCGGGUAAGUUCCGACCUGCACGAAUGGUGUAACCAUGGCCAUGCUGUCUCCACCCGAGACUCAGUGAAAUCGAAUUCGCCGUGAAGAUGCGGUGUACCCGCGGCUAGACGGAAAGACCCCGUGAACCUUUACUACAGCUUGGCACUGAACAUUGAACCUACAUGUGUAGGAUAGGUGGGAGGCUUUGAAGGCGUGACGCCAGUUGCGCUGGAGCCGUCCUUGAAAUACCACCCUUGUAUGUUUGAUGUUCUAACGCAGGCCCGUGAAUCCGGGUCGCGGACAGUGCCUGGUGGGUAGUUUGACUGGGGCGGUCUCCUCCCAAAGAGUAACGGAGGAGCACGAAGGUUGGCUAAUCCUGGUCGGACAUCAGGAGGUUAGUGCAAUGGCAUAAGCCAGCUUAACUGCGAGACGGACAGGUCGAGCAGGUACGAAAGUAGGUCAUAGUGAUCCGGUGGUUCUGAAUGGAAGGGCCAUCGCUCAACGGAUAAAAGGUACUCCGGGGAUAACAGGCUGAUACCGCCCAAGAGUUCAUAUCGACGGCGGUGUUUGGCACCUCGAUGUCGGCUCAUCACAUCCUGGGGCUGAAGUCGGUCCCAAGGGUAUGGCUGUUCGCCAUUUAAAGUGGUACGCGAGCUGGGUUCAGAACGUCGUGAGACAGUUCGGUCCCUAUCUGCCGUGGGCGUUGGAUGAUUGAAGGGAGUUGCUCCUAGUACGAGAGGACCGGAGUGAACGAACCUCUGGUGUUCGGGUUGUCACGCCAGUGGCACUGCCCGGUAGCUAAGUUCGGAAUCGAUAACCGCUGAAAGCAUCUAAGCGGGAAGCGAGCCCUGAGAUGAGUCAUCCCUGACCCCUUGAGGGUCCUAAAGGGCCGUUGGAGACCACAACGUUGAU